AAAAAUACCUCCUGAGUAGCGUUUAGGAAAAUGCCGUAUCUUGGGUGACACAGGUCCCCCCAGCAGCCCGUGGCCGGGAAGUCAGACACGUGGAGC
This is a long non-coding RNA of Nothoprocta perdicaria, 96 nucleotides long. RefSeq lists it as uncharacterized. The transcript has 2 exons. Lineage: Eukaryota; Metazoa; Chordata; Aves; Tinamiformes; Tinamidae. The record is from RefSeq and is a predicted model, not a curated record.